This 181-nucleotide non-coding RNA is filed under the name Candidatus Contubernalis sp. RNAcentral's name for it is "6S RNA". It matches the Rfam family "6S / SsrS RNA". From Rfam's summary of the family: E. coli 6S RNA was the first non coding RNA to be sequenced, but its function was unknown until recently. It consists of 184 nucleotides that fold into an extended hairpin structure with a large single-stranded internal bulge. The 6S RNA specifically associates with RNA polymerase holoenzyme containing the sigma70 specificity factor. Lineage: Bacteria; Bacillati; Bacillota; Dethiobacteria; Dethiobacterales; Dethiobacteraceae. The record is from RNAcentral.
GGGACCCUGCUGUGUGCGUAUGACCCCGAGAAGUUUUGAGCUAACACUAUGUUCAUGGGAGCCUAACUCUAUGUGUGGCAUAUAUGCCUUCUUUGAAAGGACAUAUAAAGCAUGUAGGAGGGCACCCACCUGUGGGGGGAGCAGUUCAAAACUAUCGGUUUCACGGCUCAGUGGGGUUUUU